Molecule: long non-coding RNA, 1764 nt
Organism: Equus asinus (donkey)
Lineage: Eukaryota; Metazoa; Chordata; Mammalia; Perissodactyla; Equidae
Source: Ensembl
UUAACUUCCAUAUUUUAAAUUAUAAAAAUAAACUGGGAAACUAAAGCAAAUGUGCAUCCUUGCGGGACUCCAAGCCUGGGCACUGGCCGCCUGCGUGCACUCCUCUAAGUGUGCAUAACACGCCCGCAGGGGUUGCCAGCAGGAAGCCUGCGUUAACUUUAUCUCGUGGUGGGGAAGGUGGAGCCCACGCCCACACCUAGCAAGCUGGAGAGGGAGGUUUCGUGAGGAAAUAAAUAUGGGGCACGGAAACACAGUCUUCCGCAUGGAGUCCCCAGAGGCAGUGCAUUUUAAACCCUAAAUGUGGAUUACUGAGUGUCCGAGUGGAGUUUAAAUUCCGUUUGAAGAAACUGGAUAAGGAGUGUUUGUGUGGGUGUUUGUGCGCACGGCUAUAUGGGAGCAGGCACAGGAUCUCAGUGUUGGGGGUGUCCCUAGUGUGCGAUGUCCUCCUCUCGCCACAUUAGGAGAACUCCUUUAGCUCCCCCAAACUGGCCCCCGUAACUACCCUGCCUCGGUUCGUAAGGGGUUAACCAAAACCGAUUCCGAGGACAGACAACCCGCCCCCACAGUCACCCCCACCCACACUCGCUUCCGACCCUGGCCAAGCCCCCAAAUCUUCCCCGGGGACCCCCCACCCCGCAGCCCACCCACCGGAGCGCACAGCUCCUCACCUGAAGGGCCGGGCCACGUCCGGCCUCCCGAAGAGGCUGCGUGCGUCAGGCGGACCACCGCACGUGUCCUCGGCGGCGCGGAGCAGGGCAGGUGUCAUGGGUCGCACAGAAGGGCCCUCUGCUUGAUAUAAUGCUCUGCUGUGGCCAUCUUCAUAAUUUUUGAGCAAGGUGCCCACAUUUUCAUUUUUGGACUGGGCCUGCAAAUUAUGUAGCGGGUCCUGCCUUCCUUAUGGGACGUCUGGGAUGGAUAUUCCAUGUGGGCAUUCACCUCACAGUUCAGGCCUCCUUCACCUUCAAGAGAUGUUUGCCCCCUUCACUGCGUCUGUGAAGCUGUUCUUUCCAACAUCAUCACUGAUGCGUUUCCAGUUCACAUCACUGCAACACCAAGUCCAAUGGAAGAGGGAAAAUCCACUUCUCCAACAGAGAAAAAGACUAGAAGGAAGCUCCCAAAAUGUUAAAGCCCUGCAAGCUAUUUGGCAUAUGAAGGUCUUGACCUGAGAAAACCAUCUUGGAUAACCGUGGCAAGGAGAAGGAAAAAUGCAACACCUAGGAGAUUUCAGUAAACAGUAGAAUCAUGCCAACCUAAUCUGUGUUAAAAUGCUUGGAAUGUGGGAGCCGCUGAUGAUGCCUGUUGUCUGUGUGUCUGACUGAAUCCUUUCUUUACUCAGAGCAGCAAAGCAAAGCCUGGGAACCAGGCCAAAUGCCUGCCACUUACCUUAAAUUGAUCAGCCACUUUGAGAUUAAAACUCCUGAAAGCUGCCACACCGUGAAAACAAGGCCCCCUUCACAUUAAAGGCAAAUUGCGACUUUGAGUUUGCUGUGAUCUUUUUUCCAUUUUAUCCAGUUUUUCACAGUGCACACUUUUUUUUUCCUUUCCAUUUAUGCUCCAAUGUAGAAGCCAAUAGUUACAGCAUCUUGGCCAAGCAUUCAUUAAGGUUUAUAAGACCAAAAUUUAUGGUUAUUUAGGAGUUGGCACAAAGACAGACUGUUGCUGGAAAAAGAAAAAGAAAUACAGGUGGGAAAUAUAAGCCUCAACAAAGGCCCAUACUAUACAGUAGUGUGCUGGGCUCACAGGAGUGUCUGCAAGGAAAAUACU